Long non-coding RNA from Stegostoma tigrinum, 4290 nucleotides. RefSeq lists it as uncharacterized. Lineage: Eukaryota; Metazoa; Chordata; Chondrichthyes; Orectolobiformes; Stegostomatidae. The record is from RefSeq and is a predicted model, not a curated record. The transcript is spliced from 4 exons.
ACCAUGCGCAACGCGGGUCUUGAGAUGGCUGUUUCUCCUGGGGUGAUACGGCGAACGGCGGGAAAGGAAAAGAACCGUCGGGGAAUAGCGAUACCUCCGAUACACCUUAAAAAGAUUUUGAAAAUCGAGAAAGAAUCUAUCUGUUCCGAAUCUGGCUGAAGCCGUGCCAUAUUUUUGGGUUCCUCUGUCGCCAAGCACGGGCUUUUGGUGGCCAUCUUGGUCGGGGAUCAAGCUGCUGUGGCGCGCAUGCGUGACUGUCAUUGGUCGGGAAGUCGGAAGUCAGGUGAUGAACUCAACUACAACAAGAAGCUACAGGAUAGUGUCAAGUAGAGAUUCAGAAAUUUCUCUCAUGGGUCUGCAGCUCACAGCAGUGUUCAACUUCUUGGCUGUUUUGUUUCUGUCUACUUCUGUCAAUGAGAAGUUCACUUCCAAAUGUCAGAAUACGCAGCUGAAUGGAUUCUCCUCAGAGUGAAUUCGCUGAUGUAUCAGGCAGUUUGAAGACCGAGCAAAUGCCUUGCCGCACACAAAACAGGUGAAUGGCUUCUCUCCUGUGUGAACCCGCUGAUGUGACCGGAGGUAGGAUGACUGCCUGAAUCCCUUUCCACAAGCGCUGCAGCGGAAUGGCUUUUCCUCAGUGUGAACUCGUUGGUGUGACCAAAGGCCAGAUGAAUGGGUGAAUCCUUUCCCGCACACAGAGCAGAUAAAUGGUUUCUCCCCAGUGUGGAUUCGCUGGUGUGCAGUGAGGUCAGAAGACUGCCUGAACCCCUUCCCACAAUGAGUGCAGCUGAAUGGCCUCUCCUCACGAUGAAUUCGCUGGUGCAAUGUAAGGCUGGCUAAUUGAGUAAAUCCCUUCCCACACACAGAGCAAGUGAACGGUCUCUCCCUCGUGUGAACCCGCUGGUGUGCGGUGAGGGUGGAUAACUGCCUGAAACUUUUUCCGCAUUGAGUGCAGCUAAAUGGCCUUUCCUCAGUGUGAAUUCGCUCAUGCACCACAAGGUUUGCAGACUGAGUGAAUCCCUUCCCACACACAGAACAACUGAAUGGUUUCUCCCCAGUAUGAUUUCGCUGGUGUGUCAGCAGGGCAGAUGACUGAGUGAAUCCUUUCCCACACAAGGAGCAAGUGAAUGGUCUCUCACCAAUAUGAACUCGCUGGUGCGACAGGAGUUCUGAUGAAGAUUUGAAUCUCUUUCUACAGGAUGUGCAACUGAAAGGCUUCUCCUUAGUGUGAAUUCGUUGGUGUACUACCAGGUUAGCUGACUGAGUGAACCCUUUCCCACAAACAGAGCAGGUAAAUGGCUUCUCCCCUGUGUGAGUGCGUUGGUGUAUCAUCAGAACAGAGGACUGAGUGAAUCCUUUCCCACACACCGAGCAGGUGAACGGUCUCUCCCCAGUGUGAAGUCGUUGGUGUGCAGUGAGGGUGGAUGACUGUCUGAAUCUUCUCCCACAAUAAGUGCAAGAGAAUGGUCUCUCCUCAGUGUGAACUCGCUGGUGUAACAUGAGGUUGGCUGACUUAGAAAAUCCCCUCCCACAUAUGGAGCAUAUGAAUGGCUUCUCCCCAGUGUGAGUGCGUCGAUGAAUUUCCAGCAGGGAUGGAUAAUUGAAUCCUUUACCACAAUCCUCACAUUUCCAUGGUUUAUUUUUAGUGUCAGCCACAUUAUGACUGCGUUGAUGAUAUUCCAAACGGGAUCGGUAAUUGAACACUUUACCGCAGUCACCACAUUUCCAUGGUUUCUCCAUGGUUCUGCUAUUCUUCUGUCUCUCCUGUUUGAGCAAUUAAUCGAAGCCUUGUUCACGAGCAGAACGUAUUAACAACUUCUCUGACUUUGAAUGGGGCAAUGUAUUUUCAGAAUAUAUAGCAAGUGGAAGAUUUGCCACAGUCGGGGCACAGGAACACACUCGACCCUGUGCAUUGGCACUUUUCCAGUCAGAACGAUCUUUGAAAUUUUUUCCCAAAGACAAACAUUUCUGUAUCCAUAAUCAAAGGAUGACUAUGUUCAGAUCCUAGUGAUGUUUCCUGUCUGCAAAUUCUCCCCUUCUAAUACCCUGCAGAGGGAAUUUACAAAAUUUACUGUCUAUACAAGAUAGAAGCUCAGAGCAGUCAAUUCUAAGUUCUAUGCAGCACUUUUUUCUUGUAUUUCUCCAAAACCUUUAAAUCCAAAUCUAUUGCAUUAUCUCUUCACUCUACUUCCAGAUGACUCUAUUCCCCUCCAUGUUAGUUUCUCCAGUUCGUACAAUCAGAUCUUCUAAUCAGAUCUUCUAAUCACAGACACUGAAACCCUGCCCACUCAGUAACCUCACCAACAUGGCCAUAUAUUUGCCCUGCGUUCACGCAUUCCUCUCCCCCUCCCGUAGAUGGCGGACAGCCGGUUGCCUGGGGAACCCUGGUCAUCCCUAGGCAGGAAACACCGCCUCCCUGGUCCGCCCUGACUCCCACUCACAAGAUGGCCGUCAAUGAGUCCGUUGCCCAGGACGUGACCCGCCCGCAGGGUAAACACGGGACCUGUGAGCUCUUAUGCAGAGCCUCAGGCCUCCUGCAGGAGUUGAUAAAGUUGCCGGGCCCCAAUGCCGUGGUCUCCUUUCCUACCCCGUAUCACAAUCUUCUCCUGCCGCCCGACACCGCUCUGCUCUUCGUCAGGCUAUUCCCAUGACUGACAUUGAGCAUGCUCAGAGCACAGCCUGCUCCUAUUCUUGCGCACUGGGCUUCCGUUAUCACUGAUAGGGGGCUUUCUCCGCCGCAGGGAUGUCUAGCUUGAAAGAACCUUGUAACUGUUGGAUUAUUACAGAGAGAGAGGCUCCUUGAGAGCUGCCCCUUUGGUGCCCAUACCUGCCUCACUUACUCCUUGAUCACAGAUGAAGUUUGAACUACGAAAUCUACUGGGUGUGACCACCUCCUGGAGCAAAGUGUUUAGGUAAAUUUGCCAUUCCAUGACAUCUCCAGUCUGGACUUCAGCUCCUCAGUUUGAAUCCAAAGUUGCUUGAGAGCAAACACUUGCUACAGCUGUUUCAGAUAUGUAUCACCCUGGAGCCCAGCAUGCUACAGCUGCAACACAUCACCUUGUCAGGUUCGUCUUAGGAGACCCUCAUGGACUUGCUGCAAUAACAAGACACUGACCUGUUUAGAAAAACACAUCUUUUUAUUACCAAGCAAGUACAAGCUGUGGAGAAUCACUGUACUCAACCCGGCACAGAGUGCAGAGUCUCGCAAGUAAUUCUCCCAGAGCAGUGGACAGUCCCCGCUUUUUAUACUUUACAGAAGACAUUAUACAGAAAACAAUUUCACAAUUUAUAGAAGACAUGAUUCAUGAAACAAUUACUACAGCAGACAAAGACAGGAUACCAAACAAGCAUUGCAUCAAGAACAUAAAAGACCAGGAUAUAGUAUCGAUUGCUAGUGAAGCGAUUUCGAGCUGUUGUCCGGGACAGAUUGUGAUUUCAAGUUGCCGAUGUGUCUGGCUAGAACAAAGUCAGUGCCCUGGCCCCUUUGUCAGCGACAGAAGUUCUCUGCUUUAGAGGUUUCAUCCCUUUACAAAUUUUCCCCACCUAACCCUAUUUGAAAUAGCUUGAUUCUAAUUUUAAUUCAGUCAGGAAGCUUAAGACAGUGUCUGCAUGCCGAUGUGUGAGAAGAUAAGGAGUUACAAAAGCUUUACCCUGAAUUCCUAGCUGAGCAGGAAACUUCAGGGCAGUGCCUGCAUACCUUUGUGUAGGUAGAUAAGAGUUUACUUCUAUAAAUUAAAGUCUCUGCAUAGGAAUCAAAUGCAGAUAAAAGACUUUAAUUUAUAGAAGCAUAGAAAUCAAUGGGAUGUUAUCACAUUAACAUCUCAACCUGAUCUGUCAUUUCUAUCAUUAUUUUAAUUAACUUAGCAAUUAAAUCACUCCGGUACUCUAUUCUUUACAUUUGUUUACAACCUGUUCUUUAACACUUAGUAAUCCACAAACUUUGUUUUAACCAGCACCUUACCAACUGGGAGUCUUGAUAAACCAGCACAAAGUAUAUACCUCAAAUAGCCCAAUCUACUGCGAUGUCUGAGUAUUUUAUGCUGUAAAUAAACUAUAAUGGUGAUGAGUAUACUCCAGAAUUAUGUUACUAUUUACUUACUGUGUGUUUUCACAUUGGUUUUCGGAGGAAUGUUAAUGUUUUUGAUAGAAGUUUUAAGGGAUGUUGAAGUCUCAAAGCUUUGCACGGUCAGGGUUUACCACAGUUAUGCAUACCUCUUGACUAUCUGGAAUAUUUGAUCAACCAGCACACUUCUGGUCGCAUACAUACUGGUUAAUAAAAUGUUUGCCAUGUAA